Molecule: non-coding RNA, 1749 nt
Organism: Triticum urartu
Lineage: Eukaryota; Viridiplantae; Streptophyta; Magnoliopsida; Poales; Poaceae
Source: RefSeq, a predicted model, not a curated record
CGCCGGGCGAACCCAAGUCCCGCCCCCGCCGGGCGAAUCCAAGUCCCACCCCCGCCGCUUGCCCCCUCCAACCCCUUCUCCGAUACCCCCAAACCCCUCGAUAAACCCGAGUCCGGCCCUCAACUUCGGAGGCGUCCUCUUCCCCAGGACUCACAACAAUCGGAGCCCAAAAUCGCCGCCACCUCUUCCUACAAUCGGAACUCCGGUCCACCCCGCCGGGCCUCCCCUCCACUGCGCAGUUAUAUGGGCUGAUUGUUUUGAAAAAUAAACCUCAAGAAAAAGAUAAGGAGGUUCCUGUGACCAGCAUCUCGUUGCGAGCGAGAUUCGAGCCUCCUAGUCAUCACUCAUCGAACACCAUUUUGAGGAAAGGAGGAAAGACCUUCUGACCUCUUAAGAGAUCAGGGAUGCCUCCGAUUGCGGCAGACAAGGAAGAGUUAGAUAGGCUGUAUAACCAAGUAGCUGGAUCUGUCGUUCUACUUCUUCGGUCCAAAGAUGGUGACUCCGUUGAUUUUGGCACCGGAAUUGUCCUUUUUUCGGAUGAAAGUAGAGCAUUGAUUGGCGUAGAUAAAUCUCAAAUCAAGGAUGGCGAGACUAUUACAGUUCGGUUCCAUGACAGUACACAAAGCGUUGCGAGUGUCUUUUUGAAAAAGACAACACAAAAGCACGCGGUUCUACUAGUGUAUUCCACUGCUCGCCCUCCUCCUGUCAGGUUCAAUGUGUCUCCAACCACGAGGCAAGAUAUUUUCAUGCUUGGUGUGGUGGAAGAGGAUGAGACACUUGGUUUGAUGACUGGAACUGUCGGCAAUCCGAACUGCAGAGCUGUUGAUAGGGCAAGGAAUCAUAUUUAUCGAAGCGAGAGUACAUUUGCUGUGAGUUGCCCCAUGUCAGGACGAAGUUUGGUUCCAAACGAUAAGGAAAAGGUUGAAGAAACCAAGGAGAUUAUGCAAUUGAUUGGAGCGCCCGUGUUUGACAUGAGUGGUUUGGUUAUUGGUACAAUCGAUUGUGCUGAUCCGGAUUCGUAUAAUCUGAAAUUUGCAAUUAAAACCAUUUUUUUCUGGAUAAGCUGGAAAAGUUUUUAAAGGAUAAGGAUGAGCAGAUUUAUCUUUCAAGGGGUGAGGGAGGCACUGGAACGAGCGGGCAGGGUAGUUCCACUUCAGCACCGGAGAGUAAAAAGAGGGAACGUGCAGAUUCACCUCCAACAGGCUAUGCUUGAUUGUCAGCAGAAGAUCUACCUGCCUCACAAUGCAUCAACACAGGGCUUCGUUCUGCAUCAGCUUGGAACCACCAUCCUUCAAAGCAGCUUUGUCCUCCUCUCUCUGCAAACCUGCACAGUACAAAAUCAACAAGCACAUGACAGAGAUGAUUUAGGAAAAUUGUUCGAUCAAGGAUCAGAGCACUUAACACACAUGAUUUAGGUCAAAUGGUCUACCUUUAAAUGGCAACCACAAGAAAAACGAAAUUGCUUCAGCCAAGGAUCAAAACAGAACAGGAAACGAAUGACAAUACCUGAUUAAGGGAGCCUGAGUGCUGGCCCGUCCUAUGCUGCUGCUUGUUCCUGUACUGGUAGCUCUCUUCAGAUGCUGUUGAAGUAGUGCUAAUAGGGGCUAAGAUAUGUUUUGAGUGUGAGAAUCUCCAGCUGGUUUCCAAUUAGUGUGCCAACUUGCUCUCCUUCUUGCAUGUCUCCUGUAAUGAACUUUUUUUUUAUUUUUGUUAAGAAAUUAACGGAAAGGGGGUUAAGCCGGUUGGUUA